GGGAGCUAAUACCGGAUAUCUCAUUUCCUCUCCUGAGGGAAUGAUGAAAGACGGAGCAAUCUGUCACUUGCGGAUGGGCCUGCGGCGCAUUAGCUAGUUGGUGAGGUAACGGCUCACCAAGGCGACGAUGCGUAGCCCACCUGAGAGGGUGAACGGCCACACUGGGACUGAGACACGGCCCACACUCCUACGGGAGGCAGCAGUAGGGAAUCUUCCGCAAUGGGCGAAAGCCUGACGGAGCAACGCCGCGUGAGUGAUGAAGGUUUUCGGAUCGUAAAGCUCUGUUGCCAGGGAAGAACGUCCGGUAGAGUAACUGCUAUCGGAGUGACGGUACCUGAGAAGAAAGCCCCGGCUAACUACGUGCCAGCAGCCGCGUUAUACGUAGGGGGCAGCGUUGUCCGGAAUUAUUGGGUGUAAAGCGCGCGCAGGCGGUCAUUUAAGUCUGGUGUUUAAGGCCAAGGCUCAACCUUGGUUCGCACUGGAAACUGGGUGACUUGAGUGCAGAAGAGGAGAGUGGAAUUCCACGUGUAGCGGUGAAAUGCGUAGAUAUGUGGAGGAACACCAGUGGCGAAGGCGACUCUCUGGGCUGUAACUGACGCUGAGGCGCGAAAGCGUGGGGAGCAAACAGGAUUAGAUACCCUGGUAGUCCACGCCGUAAACGAUGAUGCUAGUGUAGGGUUCGAACCCUUGGGCCGAGUUACACUUAGCAUCCGCUGGGAGACGGCGCAGAUGA
RNAcentral lists this ribosomal RNA (733 nucleotides) under Paenibacillus sp. ADB_BD069. RNAcentral's name for it is "bacterial SSU rRNA". It matches the Rfam family "Bacterial small subunit ribosomal RNA", at positions 158 to 873 of the family's 1533-position model. The record is from RNAcentral. Lineage: Bacteria; Bacillati; Bacillota; Bacilli; Caryophanales; Paenibacillaceae.